AUUGAACGCUGGCGGCAGGCCUAACACAUGCAAGUCGAACGAGUGGCGGACGGGUGAGUAAUGUCUGGGAAACUGCCUGAUGGAUGGGGAUAACUACUGGAACCGGUAGCUACUACCGCAUACCAUCAGAUGUGCCCAGAUGGGUUUAGCUUGUUGGUGGGGUAUCGGCUCACCAAGGCGACGAUCCCUAGCUUGCCUGAGAGGAUGACCGGCCAAACUGGUACGGGGACACGGUCCAGACUCCUACGGGAGGCAUCAGUGGGGAAUCUUGCACAAUGGGCGAAAGCCUGAUGCAGCAAUGCCGCGUGUAUUAAGAAGGCCUUCGGGUUGUAAAGUACUUUCGGCGUGGAGGCGUUACCCGCAGAAGAAGCACCGGCUAACUCCGUGCCAGCCGCCGCGGUAAUUC
RNAcentral lists this ribosomal RNA (406 nucleotides) under uncultured bacterium. Its description in RNAcentral is "partial 16S ribosomal RNA". It matches the Rfam family "Bacterial small subunit ribosomal RNA", at positions 30 to 526 of the family's 1533-position model. The record is from RNAcentral.